RNAcentral lists this ribosomal RNA (253 nucleotides) under uncultured bacterium. RNAcentral's name for it is "partial 16S ribosomal RNA". It matches the Rfam family "Bacterial small subunit ribosomal RNA", at positions 524 to 776 of the family's 1533-position model. The record is from RNAcentral.
UACGGAGGGUCCGAGCGUUAUCCGGAAUCAUUGGGUUUAAAGGGUCCUUAGGCGGGACAUUAAGUCAGGGGUGAAAUGUUGCAGCUCAACUGCAGAAUGGCCUUUGAUACUGGUGUUCUUGAGUUAUGUUGCUGUGGUCGGAACAUGUGGUGUAGCGGUGAAAUGCAUAGAUAUCACAUAGAACGCCGAUUGCGAAGGUAGGUCACAAAGCAUAUAAUGACUAUGAGGGACGAAAGCGUGGGGAGCGAACGGG